This 253-nucleotide ribosomal RNA is filed under the name uncultured bacterium. RNAcentral's name for it is "partial 16S ribosomal RNA". It matches the Rfam family "Bacterial small subunit ribosomal RNA", at positions 524 to 776 of the family's 1533-position model. The record is from RNAcentral.
UACAGAGGUGGCAAGCGUUGUUCGGAAUUACUGGGCGUAAAGGGCGCGUAGGCGGCCUACUAAGUCAGACGUGAAAUCCCCCGGCUUAACCUGGGAACUGCGUCUGAUACUGGAAGGCUUGAGGAUGGGAGAGGGAUGUAGAAUUCCAGGUGUAGCGGUGAAAUGCGUAGAUAUCUGGAGGAAUACCGGUGGUGAAGGCGGCAUCCUGGACCAUUACUGACGCUGAGGCGCGAAAGCUAGGGGAGCAAACGGG